This is an RNA transcript of Prunus dulcis (almond), 1248 nucleotides long. RefSeq lists it as uncharacterized. NCBI's taxonomy places the organism in Eukaryota, Viridiplantae, Streptophyta, Magnoliopsida, Rosales, Rosaceae. The record is from RefSeq and is a predicted model, not a curated record. The transcript is spliced from 8 exons.
CCUCUCCCUCUCCUAGUUUGGAUUUGAGUCACUGUUUGAGUCUGUCUUUGUGGUGUGGUAUGGAGGCGAUGGUGAAGAAAUACCAGCAGAGGUUCAGGAAGGUCAGGGACGAGAUGGACCGCUGGUCCUCGCUUCAGUCGCGCUUGAUUUCACAGUUCAGGAACGCCUCCUCCAUCAUCCAGAGGUUGCAGAUUCUCCUAGAUUCCAAGAAGUAUGUUCGUUUGAAGGACGUUGUUGGUAUUCAAGAGGCAGUACUGGCGAAGCAGGUGGAGUCGUUGCGGAAAAUCUUGUUUUCCAUGAACAAAACCAUGGAAGAGUUUCAUGGAAUUGUAUUGUCUCUUGGGAAGAUUCAUCGUGAUGGUAGGCAGAUGGUGAAGGGUGGUGGUUCUAAUCAGCUGACUGUAAAACAACUGCAGCAACGAGUUGGUGUAAAACCCCGUCUUGCAGAUUGCUUAGAUGGGCUUAUGCUUCUUCAGGACAUGCAUUGCUCUGAGUACCUUUUGAAAUCAUCAUUGGUUUCAGCACUCUCAGCACUUACCUUUAAACCCAGUGCGAGUGAUUUGGGAGCGCUUCAGCAGCUCUUGGUUGAUCAGCCUAACAUACCGAAUGAGGAGGUUCAAUUCAUCUUUGAUAUCAUAUUUGCAGAAGAAAUUUGUUGAUCUUUUCUGUUACAUUGGCCGCAAACUUCGUAGCUCUGGAAAUGGGAAGCAGUUUGAAACCUCUUGGUGUUCUGUAUGGGCGAUGAGUGAUGACAGUUGGAUGCCUGAACUCUGGUGUUGAGACUUCAAAAGGUGCCGGCAACGUUUUAUAUUUGGAAGUGCACAAGAGGGAGAAUUCAAAGAAAAUUCGAACUUACCUGUACAUUCAUGGAAGUGAUGCAGCAGAAGGUUGGAAUAUUGAAGUUAAUUAUUAUUGUUGUUUGUGCCCGAAGAAGGGAUGUGUGUGAACUUCUGGAUCCUUUCAAUCUAUGUUAUUGAGCAUGGAUGGCUGGGGAUCAACUACCCUCCCCAAAUUUUUAGGCCCCUGGCCCUAGCUGCUUUUUAUUGCAGACCAUGAGCGGCAAACUAAACUCGGUUUGGGGUUGAGUAGAAGUGUAUCAUGGUUACUUCCAUCUACGGGUCAGGAAUUGCAAUUUGCGACGACCUAGCUUGUCGUUUUGCCGUCCAGUUACAGAUUUUAAUUUUGAAGUCUACUUUCCAUUUUCAGCAAGUACCUUCCUUAAUUUCAUGAAAUCCAUAAUUUCCUCAA